GGAGAGAUGGCCGAGUUGGACGAAGGCGCACGAUUGGAAAUCGUGUAUACGUUAAUAGCGUAUCGAGGGUUCGAAUCCCUCUUUCUCCGCCA
This 92-nucleotide transfer RNA is filed under the name Clostridiales bacterium. Its description in RNAcentral is "tRNA-Ser". It matches the Rfam family "tRNA". Rfam says of the family: Transfer RNA (tRNA) molecules are approximately 80 nucleotides in length. Their secondary structure includes four short double-helical elements and three loops (D, anti-codon, and T loops). RNAcentral also lists the same sequence under 1 other name. Lineage: Bacteria; Bacillati; Bacillota; Clostridia; Eubacteriales. The record is from RNAcentral.